Non-coding RNA from Eumeta japonica, 104 nucleotides. The record is from the annotation of a GenBank genome assembly. Lineage: Eukaryota; Metazoa; Arthropoda; Insecta; Lepidoptera; Psychidae.
AACGUCCAUAUCACGCCGAAUACACCGGUUCUCGUCCGAUCACCGAAGUUAUCGGGCGCGGUCAGUACUUGGAUGGGUGACCACCUGGAAUAUCGUGUGAUGUU